Pelobates cultripes (western spadefoot toad) is the source of this 323-nucleotide non-coding RNA. Lineage: Eukaryota; Metazoa; Chordata; Amphibia; Anura; Pelobatidae. The record is from the annotation of a GenBank genome assembly.
GGGACUCACAAUUUGAAAUUUUAAUGGAAAAAAGAAAUACAGAAACAAAGACUGCAUUCAUUCUAGGGCAGCCCUGAAGUGACACAUUAAAUGAAAUCAAACUGCUGUAGCCUGAUCUAUACAUCAUGUAAUAAUUUGUUUUAAAACAAUAUUGCAUUAUAUGCUGUAAUUGUUAGUGGAUUGGAAUAUUGCCGAGGGAUACAGAGUCCAACCUCAUGUUACCUCCAGACAGUAAUAUUGCACAUGGCGUUCUAUGUGGCACUGUCGCGUGAUGUUGCCAUUCCAUCAAGUUACAUUUCCAGCUUGGCACUGAUACAGUUACU